AAAAAUCAAAAAAAAUUUCGAGUUGUAAUUUAAUUUUUUUUCCUUCCUUGUAUUUACCUUACUAUUGUAUUGGAGUAUCACAAAAAAAAAUCAAAAUUCAAAAAAAAUUCGAAAAAAAAAGAAAAAAAGAAGUGAGCAAAAAAAAAGAGUAAAAAGAAGAAGAAAAAAAAGAAGUGAAAAGUCUUGCGAGUUUUAUUUUCAUCUCUUAUUACUUCGAUCAUCAAGUUUCCCUUCCUACCAUUAUUUAUCCAUCCCAACG
This 259-nucleotide long non-coding RNA is filed under the name Gossypium raimondii (Peruvian cotton). RNAcentral's name for it is "long non-coding RNA (GRAI_LNC008333)". The record is from RNAcentral. Lineage: Eukaryota; Viridiplantae; Streptophyta; Magnoliopsida; Malvales; Malvaceae.